GGCGGGAUAGCUCAGUUGGUUAGAGCACGGGAAUCAUAAUCCUGGGGUCGGUGGUUCGAAUCCACUUCCCGCUA
This 74-nucleotide transfer RNA is filed under the name Aminobacter aminovorans. RNAcentral's name for it is "tRNA-Met". It matches the Rfam family "tRNA". Rfam says of the family: Transfer RNA (tRNA) molecules are approximately 80 nucleotides in length. Their secondary structure includes four short double-helical elements and three loops (D, anti-codon, and T loops). The record is from RNAcentral. Lineage: Bacteria; Pseudomonadati; Pseudomonadota; Alphaproteobacteria; Hyphomicrobiales; Phyllobacteriaceae.